This is an RNA transcript of Glycine soja, 3189 nucleotides long. It is a transcript of the gene named CRC domain-containing protein TSO1-like, with no coding region annotated. NCBI's taxonomy places the organism in Eukaryota, Viridiplantae, Streptophyta, Magnoliopsida, Fabales, Fabaceae. The record is from RefSeq and is a predicted model, not a curated record. The transcript is spliced from 12 exons.
GCCCGACCCGAUCCGAAAAUCGAAGGAAGUGAGCUCCCGCUCGCAUUUUAAAAUCUUUCCAUUGUUCCGAACGAGUUGCAUUAUUAAUUGAUCAGUGAGAGAGAGAGUGAUGCGGUAGUGUAGGGUUACAAAACCCGUUUGUAGUUUUAGAAGAAGAAGAAAUUUGUUUUGUUGAUGAUGGAUUCUCCAGGACCUUCCAAGAACAACAAUGGCAGUUCCUCUUCUGCUUCCACUCUCAACAACAACAACAACGAUGCUGCUUCAUCGGAAUCCCCUCAAGUACAAGAAUCCCCCUUUCUUAGAUUUGUAAAGACUUUAUCUCCAAUACCCACCAAGGCUUCUCAUACGACACAAGGUUGUCUAAGGCUCAGUUCUCCACCCCUUGUAUUCAAGUCUCCUCGAAUUAGUCACCGUGAAACGCAGCUCACAGAAAGGCCCCAAGGCACUCGGUCACUCGGUGGAGUAAUUCUUCAAAGUGUAAAUGAAGGCAACAUGCUUGGUGAAGCUCCUGGAGAUUCCAGGACAUCAAAUUCUCAGCAGUCACUGCCAGAGAGGUUUAUAAAUGACACUCAGCAGGUUUUUGACUCCAAGAAUGAUGAAAAUACUCAGUACUACAGUUCUCCAUCAUGCAUUGAUAAAUAUUUGGUGGAUCCUGGGGAUAUUGAUCAAAUGUAUUCAGCUGGUCAGGAUGUGGAACAACAAUCUACAGAUCCAGCUGAAGCAUCACUAAGUGACCAAAUUCACCCAAAGAAUAAUAUAUUAAAUUUUGACAGGCAAGACGGUCCUGGUGAUAAAGUAGAAGAAUCUUUGCCUUUGUCAGAAGGUUUUAACAAGUUUCAUCAAGAAAAUGCAGCAUAUGGUGAAGAACCUGAAGAGAUGGAAGUGGAGAAUAAUGAUGUUCAAUGGUCUUCUCAAGAGCCCGCAAAGUUAGAGUCCAUUUUAGCUGCAGAUGUUUUUGAGAAACGAUACAGUCAUGAUACACUUCCUCAGGGUGUUAAAGGAUGUGAAGAUUACAAUGAGAUGGUGCCAACCUCACAUGUAACUGCAGAGAAUAUCUUGCAAGAUGGUUCUAAGGCUACUCUAAAGUACCAUGGCAUUCGUAGACGUUGCCUACAAUUUGGGGAAGCUGCCUCAAAUGCUCUUGGAAGUAAUGUGAAACUAAAUGCAACUUCAAACAAAAUAAUAAUGGUCAAGCCGUCUGAACUUGUCACUUCCUUGUGUCCUCAGCGAGGUAGUGGAAACUUCCCUUUGACAGGUCCCAAGCCAACAGGUAUUGGGUUGCAUAUAAAUCGCAUCAUGAAUGCUAUUCCAACUGGUCAGGCUGCAACUAUGGGUGUGAGAUUAUCAGAUGGUUCACAGGGGAUGAAAUCCACAUCUUCAAUAAGGUUACAAAGAAUAGAGAAUGUAAAGAGAUCCAUACUUUCGUCUAAUGUUGAUGGGCGAUCAUUAGUUAAUACAAGAACUGAGAGCCAUGAAAUUGAUGAUACAGGAAAUUCUGAGGACUUCAACAUACCUUCUAGCCCCUGCCAGAAAAAGAAGAAAAUAUCAGAGACUGCUGAUGACGAUGGCUGUAAACAUUGCAACUGUAAGAAGAGUAGAUGUUUAAAACUUUACUGUCAUUGUUUUGCUGCUGGUACGUACUGUACCGACCCUUGUGCUUGCCAAGGCUGCUUAAACAGACCAGAAUAUGCAGAGACAGUUGUCGAGACUAAACAACUAAUUGAAUCCCGUGAUCCAUCUGCAUUUGAUCCCAAGAUUGUACUGCCUACCACUGAUAUUUCUUCACAUAUGGAUGAUGAAAAUCUGACGACACCGUCAUCGGCAAGGCACAAAAGAGGUUGCAAUUGCAAAAGGUCAAUGUGUCUGAAAAAAUAUUGUGAAUGUUAUCAGGCUAAUGUUGGAUGCUCUAGUGGAUGUCGAUGUGAGGGAUGCAAGAAUGUCUAUGGCAAGAAAGAAGAUUAUGUUGCAUUUGAACAUACUUCGAGCAAAGAAAGGGAGAGCAGUAUUGUUGAAGAAGGAUCAGACUACACUUUUCACAAGAAACUGGAAAGGGUGGCUAGCAAGACUGUUUAUGGUCUACACUGCCUCUCACCUAUAACGCCAUCAUUGCAAUGCUCUGAGCAAGGCAAGGAGGCUGCUAAAUCCAUAAUUAUUUCUGGAAACUAUCUACCAUCCCCUGAAUCUGAUGUCAAUAUGUUUGCAUCUUGUGCAAACUACACUAAAUCUUCUGAAAAUUUGCACAGCAGUCAAGCACUUCUGGGCACAAAUGAGAUGUUGGGAAGUACCCCCUAUGAUUCACAAAUUGAAUGCAGCCAUGCUGCCUUACUUCAGCUUACUCCUCCUCUGUCUAAUCCUGAGCUGUGUGGCACUUCAUCAUUCUCAUCUAUAGCAAAUGAGUGGAGAAAUAUUUCUCAAUCCCAACCCACCCACGGAUGUAUUAGCCAGUUACCCAGUGGCUCUCUUUGUUGGCGUAGUUCUCCACUUACCCCAAGCAAUAGAGUAGGUGAAGCACAAUAUUUUCAGUGUUCUGAAUCAGAUAGCAGGCUCUUUGACAUUCUAGAAAAUGAAACCCCUGAUGUACUGAAGGAAGCUUCAACUCCUAUGACGUCUGUCAAAAUAAAUUCCCCAACCCAAAAACGAGUUUCUCCACCUCAGAGUCGUCAUUUUGAGAUUGGAUCAAGCUCCUCUGGAGGUUUGAGAAGUGACAGGAAAUUUAUAUUUGAAUCUGUACCUUCUUUCCCUUCAUUGUCUCCUUGUGUUAAUUCGAAAAGCAAUGGUGAUGAUGAUGAGGAGGAUAUCUCAUGACAGUCAAGGGCAAGUGACAAUUCGAAGCUAAUGAAUGAUUCCCCUUAAUGUGAGAGUAUUAUACAAGCAGAAGAUUGUGUAAAUCUGGUGCAGACAUCUUGUCUGUAUAGGUAUAGGUUGCCGGGGCGACUUAUUAAUUAUUAUGGGAACAAUCAAUGCAAAAUUGAAGUUAUGGCUGCAUCUUCCUCCAAUGUCUAUUCCUUUACAUUCUUAAGCAAUUUGAAAUUUUAGUUUAGUAGUUUUUUCUUGGAACAGAUUCUUAGUCUUGUUUUUUUCUACCCUCUCUAUGGUAUGAAUGCUAUUGGACACCCUUAAAUUGAUACUAUUGCUGCUAAUUCUUAGUCUCAUCCUUCAAGGUAAGCUUGCCUCGUUAAUUAAAUAAAA